Molecule: long non-coding RNA, 4589 nt
Filed under: Homo sapiens (human)
Lineage: Eukaryota; Metazoa; Chordata; Mammalia; Primates; Hominidae
Description: non-protein coding lnc-IGLL1-1:26
Source: RNAcentral
AUGAUUUCCCAAAGUGUUAGAGCUGAAGUGUGUUUCCUUGUGUAUAUAUACUGUGGUUCCUUUAUCCCUUCAUCUGUGGAUAGACAGGUGCAACCGUGUGGUUCCCCACGAUAUGAUUUCAUUGUGGUUUUCUGUCUGAAGAGUAUCCCAGUAUGUACCUGUGGAGCAGCUUCUUUAUCCCUUCAUCUGUGGAUAAGCAGUGCAGGCCAAGGCCCCCUGCCCAUGGAGGUGUGCUGCAGACAGCAGCAGCAGCAGCAGCAGCAGCAGCAGCAGCAGCAGAGGCCUGGCUUCCUGAGGAAUUGCUGGCCGGUUUGAGGAAGGAAGGAAGUCCCACCUACCAUGAUCACCCUCCAGCCUGGAGGAAGCUCCAUGCCAGCAGCAUGGACCAGCAUGGGAGCCAGAGCCCUGCUAAUGCUGCAGCUCAUCACCCCUGCUCAGCAGCCCAGCAGCCCAGCAGCCAUUGCCACAUCCCAUUUCCAGGGCCUCCUGCCCCCAUGCCCCCACGUGCCCAUGGACCGACACACCACUCUUCCUGUUGGCCCAAGCUGACCUAUUGGGUUGCUGCACAGAGCAGAGACGAUGACGUGCACCGAGGAGAAGUUGUUGAGGCUUAGGCACUCCUGGAGAGGGAAGAAUGAGCUGUGCGGUUCAGAGUUGGAGCUUGGCCCACUACAGCCUCAGCCCCCUCUGCUGAGAUCUCCCCUCCUGGAUGAAGCAGAGGCCUGGGGAGCCUCAGGAGGGCAGACCUGGGGCCGAGUGGAUGUCACUCAUCUAGGAGGAUUUUAGUUCAACCCAAGGAAGACCCCAGGUCGGAAGUGAGCAGCCACCACUGGGCCGUGGGAGUCAAGGUGAGUGAAGCUCUGGCAAGAAGAGCCUAGGGGAUGUGCAGGGUCCAGGCCAGAGAUACAGAUGCCGAUCCUGAAAGCCGAUGGAGGAGAAGAGGAAGUUCCCCAUUUUUAAAGAGGGAAUCCCCAGGCCCAACCAUAGCUUACCCUGGCCACCUUGAUCCAGUGCUCCACCACCCUGGCCCUGUCCCGGGCCCUCAUGCUGUGGUCCCCGAGGCAGGAGGUGGUGAUGCAGUUGGUGAGCCUGUUGAAGUGUGCGAUGGUGGCACGAACUGUGGGUGCCAUGUGCUCAUUCCCCUUCAGAUGUCCUUGGCCCCAGAUGCAGCCCAAGCAUUCGUGGAGCACCACCUUCUUGAACAGCUCCUUUGGGGGAGGAGGAGAGUGUCACGGACACAGCACACUGCAGCUCAGAGUCACCCACAGUCCCAGGCAGGGACUGAGCUCACAGUCAUCCACGGUCUCUGGCAGGAACCAAGCUGGAGCUCAGAAAGCUUUAAAAUGGGCUCCAGACUUGUGGGAGUCCCUGGGUUUGGUUUUCUGCCCCCGAGGGACCUGAAUGCAUCAUGGCCUAGAACCCAACAAGGGUGGGAAGAGAGAGUGACAUUUUCUCCCAGGCCAUCCACACUCUAAGAACUAGAAGGUGGCUCAGGCCUGCCCAUCCUGAGGCCUCGUCUUCCUCCCAUCCCAAUCAGCCCUCUACUACUCCUCUCCGUACCGGUGCACUUUCCUUGUGGCAGCUGCAACUAUGGGCUCUGUUUGGGUGUCUACCAUAGAAUCCAGUAUGCAUCAGGUACCUAAUAAGUGCUGAGGGUAGUGAGGCUCCUGAGCAGCUGGGUGAGUGACCCAUGGCCCUGCCUGCCCCACAGUGAGCACCUGCCCUGCCCUGCUUUCUGUCCAUCUCCUGUCACUCAGUCUGCACAGUCACUCUGUGCAGCUGGCGCUGGUGAUGUCCCAUCUCUGCCGUCCACAUGCAGACAGGGAAGGCUUGUGGGUGAGGAAACUCAUCCAGAUCCCACGGUUGGUAAGAAGUGGGGCUGAAAUUGGACCGAGGGCAUUGGCUGCUCCUCAGGGAGAGGCUGGUCUGAGACAGCUGGUGCCAGAGACACAGCCUGCAAAGCUCAGCUGCUCACCGCAUCCAUGAGGGUCAGCUGCUCUGCCAGCAGCCUGGGAGGGAAGGUCGUCAUGUCAGGCAGCUCCUCACUGGGUUGGUUCUUUACAGACCCACGACAGGGACAGGAGGACUCUGGGGCUGACUGUGGCUCCAGCACUGUCCCUGGAGGGGGCCCUUCCCCUGGUGCUGGUGCUGGCCCUGGUGCUGAAUGUAGAUAUCCUGGUGGACCCAGGGCUGCAGGUGACUCUGGCUCCAGAGCAGGCCCCAGGUCCGCCAGCAGUGGUGGUGCUGGCUCCAGGGCCGGCAUUGUUAAUGCGUGUUGCCCAGGACGUGGAGCAGGAUCUGGAAAAGGAGAAAAGGUCACCACACCAGUCAUUUUUCACUGGGUUUUCCAAGCACAGAAAUGACCGGGUGGAAUUUAAGGGAAUUGUAGCCCCAAAACACCACCCCCGGAAAGUCUUGCAGACUGCAAGCCCCCUCACCAUCUGGCUUGGCCUCGUUGGGCUCCGGAAGCACCAACUGGCCUAGGACAAUUUCCUGAUGGUCCUCCAAGCCCAGUCCAGGCCAGGAGAGGUUCCUGAAGGCCAGCUUUAUCCGGAAAGAUGACCGUUGCGGGGGCUGAUAGUAAACUGAAGUGUUUUCGGGGGGCCAGUUGAACAAAAUGGAGGUGAUGGUGCUGGUGAUGGAGUAGACAGCUGAGUCAGAGGCCUGGCCUUCUCCCACACAACCCUCCAGGGCACCCCUGCGUGGUUCUGGGUCCCUGGCCUGUUGCUGCCAGUGUGGAGGACAGCCCCACCCUACCGUAAGCCAUCAGUGCUGUCCUGGAAGGGGCAGACCUGGCCAUACAGCAGGGCUGUACAGACCCUCGUGCGCCCUGGCGUCCCACAGACAUUCUCUUCCCAAAGGCCCUGGAGCACAGCACUGUACACCUGGGCACUCAAGACUGCAGCUGCAGGCAGAUUUGUGAGCAGCUUCCUCAUCAAAGCUCCAGAUCUGGGUCCCCUGGUCCUGGGGUUAGGAGGGAAGGGGCAGAUGUCGGGGGGAGGAGGACAGGGAGAGCUGGGAAGCCACGGUGCUGAGGGGGAUGGGUCUCUCAGUGGCCAGCUGUGACCCCAGCCUCCCCUCUGCUUUGCAGGGGACCUAAGUCUCCAUUUACAGAACUCACUAUUUGCCUCUUGUGGGGGAAGUCCCCAGAUGUCAGCCUUCUCGUGGGAAUUAUAAGAAGUAUGAGCCCCAGAGCUCCUUUAGUCUCUCCCCAGCCAGAGUCCACAUAUUUUCCCCCAUGUUUUGUGGGUGAAAAGGCCCUUCAGAACCCUAAAUCCACCCAGUUUAUAUUUGUUGCUGGGCUGCGUCAUUCUAGUCAGAAUCUGGGAGGAUGCCACCAUACGUAGAGGAGGCCAUGAGGGUCUCACCUGUAACAUUCUGUAGAUAUGACUUGUUUAUUCUGUCUACUGUGAGUGCCUGACUCUGAGUAGAAUCAAGGCCGGGGGAUUGUCAUCUGCUUUGUUUAUGAAAUUAUGCCAAGCCCCAAGAAGAGCGAUGCACAAAUGAGGUGUUUUGAAUGUAUGUGUUGAAUGAGUGAACCCCAACCUUUGGAGAACCCCAGUGAGCCUCUCCAGAUGUCUGAGUGGGCCUGUGGCUCCUUUUUCAGCACCAAGGGACCCCUCUUCUGUCUGUGUCAAGGAGAAAGACCAGCCAGAAGGAAUCUCAGACAUCCUUUACCAGUGCCAUCGCAGACUUGGUUUCUAUGUGUUUUUCCAAACAGUGAGUGAUACAGGCCAUUGAGGCAGAAUGCUGAGAGCUGCUUCAAGUGAGGGGGAAGAGAAAAGUAACAAACAUGAAUCACAGCACCCCCAGCAGAUUUUCCAGAGUUUUAGGCUCUAGGGACCCCUUUGUUUGCUGUGUCUUAGAUCAUUGAGUCCCUACAAGAACCCUGUGAGGUUCGUCUUCUCACUACUCCCUGUUCCAGAGGAGCCAACCGAGGCUCCGAGAGGUGCAUCUUCAAGACAGAGCCAGUAGGGGACAGAGGCACCUCUGUGUCUUGGAGGGGGAUGGACACUCACCUUCUAACCAGUAGUUCCAAAAAGUGUGGCACAGUGAUAAAGUCCCAGGAGGGGCCCAGGCAGGUGGCAUAGGAGGAGAUGGGUUUAGUUAGAAAGGCUGGAACCAGGGACUCCCAACAGCUUCUCCCCAGUGCCGGGCUGGAAAGUUAGCAUCCUGCAGAUCUCAUUUUCAUACUAGGGGGACAAGGAGGGACAUGGGAGUCAGUGGUAACACCAUGGACCACCAGAGGAUCGGGAUCUGGAACUCACACCAAGAAGCACCAACCCUUCAGGGACUUGUGCAUAUGGAGAACCUGGGUGCCCAUGGUGAAAAGCGUUCUAGGCUUUCAAAGUAACAUUGCAUGUGAGGAUGGAGAAUGAUAAAACGAUUCCUGCCUUCAAGGCAUCGUCCCGGUGUUUGUCAGCUGUGGGGCAACAGCACCCUCUGUGUCAGCAACCUGCAUGAAGAGCAUCAUCCCUGCAAGUCCUCAAGGCCUGGGGAGGCCUCAUCCCCUCCUCAUUUCAGCAACAGCACACAGGACAAUACGCUCUAGAAGAACUCUUUGACUUAAAGGUAUAUGAUUGUUUUUG